UAAUACUUACAUAUUGUUUAUCAAAUCAGUAUUUUUAAUUUGAGUUUAAACAGUUUUUAUUAUUUUUAUAAUUUCAAAGUGGGAAAAUUGGCUAAUUAAAUUAUAGUCUCUUUUGCUUUCAAUUAUAACCCAAUUUCAAUCCCAAUCCACCCCCUAAUUAAACGAUCCAAUUCCAUUUCUUACACGACUUAGAUCUAAUUAAAUAAACUCGCCUGGACCCUAUUUUUAAUCGU
This 233-nucleotide long non-coding RNA is filed under the name Nicotiana benthamiana. RNAcentral describes it as "long non-coding RNA (NBEN_LNC025805)". Lineage: Eukaryota; Viridiplantae; Streptophyta; Magnoliopsida; Solanales; Solanaceae. The record is from RNAcentral.